AGUCGUGUGGUCUAAUGGUUAUGAUUUCUCGUUCACAAUCACGUGAGCACCAAAGUUCCGAGAAGGUUCCCGGUUCGAUCCCGGGCACGACUA
Molecule: non-coding RNA, 93 nt
Organism: Ascosphaera acerosa
Lineage: Eukaryota; Fungi; Ascomycota; Eurotiomycetes; Onygenales; Ascosphaeraceae
Source: the annotation of a GenBank genome assembly